CUCAAUCACAAACUGAAGCACCAUCCUGCACCCCAAACUCCUCAUACCCAGCCCCACCCCAGACCCUGCACCCCUGGCUGGAGCCCUCCCACACCUUAACCUCCUGU
Chelonoidis abingdonii (Abingdon island giant tortoise) is the source of this 107-nucleotide non-coding RNA. NCBI's taxonomy places the organism in Eukaryota, Metazoa, Chordata, Testudines, Testudinidae. The record is from RefSeq and is a predicted model, not a curated record.